RNAcentral lists this transfer RNA (84 nucleotides) under Planctomycetia bacterium. RNAcentral describes it as "tRNA-Leu". It matches the Rfam family "tRNA". Rfam says of the family: Transfer RNA (tRNA) molecules are approximately 80 nucleotides in length. Lineage: Bacteria; Pseudomonadati; Planctomycetota; Planctomycetia. The record is from RNAcentral.
GCCGGAUUGGUGGAAUUGGCAGACACGAUGGAUUCAAAAUCCAUUGCCCGCAAGGGCGUCCCGGUUCAAGUCCGGGAUCCGGUA